GCCGGGAUGGUGAAAUUGGUAGACACAAGGGACUUAAAAUCCCUCGGUAGCAAUACUGUACGGGUUCGACUCCCGUUCCCGGUACCA
RNAcentral lists this transfer RNA (87 nucleotides) under Mariprofundales bacterium. RNAcentral's name for it is "tRNA-Leu". It matches the Rfam family "tRNA". Rfam says of the family: Transfer RNA (tRNA) molecules are approximately 80 nucleotides in length. The record is from RNAcentral. Lineage: Bacteria; Pseudomonadati; Pseudomonadota; Candidatius Mariprofundia; Mariprofundales.